Oncorhynchus gorbuscha (pink salmon) is the source of this 1128-nucleotide long non-coding RNA. RefSeq lists it as uncharacterized. The record is from RefSeq and is a predicted model, not a curated record. NCBI's taxonomy places the organism in Eukaryota, Metazoa, Chordata, Actinopteri, Salmoniformes, Salmonidae. The transcript is spliced from 5 exons.
UGUUCUAAUGUUAAUGAAGAUUUUAAUGGAUGAAGCUACUCCUUGAGCAGUGCUGCCUUUUCGAUCCUAUCAGUAUCAACUCAUGCCUCAACGACGCACUUAUGUAAACAUUGUCUCUGCGUGGUGUUUUAGGAAACACAUGUUACAUCUUUGGCCAUUGUAGGAAAGAUUCAUCGAUAAAACACUUCUGCUGUGCCAACCGUGCCCCGGUGGCUCUCUGCAGCGUGGGGGCAAGGAGGGAUCAGCAUGCCGCUACCAGUAAUACGGAACACAAGGCCCAUGGACAGGGCAGGACAGUCUGGCCCAGGAGGACCCUGAGAUGUGGGGCCUGCUGCGGAAAGAGGACAGACAGUGCAUCUCACCGCUUCAGAGGUUUUUCUCUCCUCCCUACAGAACUUCUGCAGACUGGCUGCUCUCGAGGUCCAGGGAUCCUGCAUCAACAACAAGUUCUCAGAGGGGUACCCAGGCAGGAGGCAAGACUGCGGAUACUGCAGGACUAGGCACUAGUUGAGCCUGCCAUAUGACUCACUGGCUACAACCAGCUGGAAGUGACUGCCCGUCUCUUCCGACCCAAGGUGAUCAUUUCAGGUACCAGCGCCUAUGCAUAUGUCAUUGACUAUGCUCGCUUUAUGAAGGCUGGUUGUUCCUGGUCCUCUGGCUGAGGCUGGCCCCCACGACACCCCUCCGUCUCCCGUGGACAUCUAGGGAGGUCCUGCCUAUGCCGUCAGAUGCCUACUGAACUCCCGACAUUGUGGGGGUCGGCUCCAUUACCUGGUGGACUGGGAGGGGUAUGGUCCAGAGGAGCAAUGUUGGGUUCCAAAGGUUGGGUUCCAAAGGUGGAAAUCAUCGAGUGCCUGGGAGCUCCCCCUCCCAGGCACUCGAUGUCGCCGGUUUCUGACAACCAUUACGCACACAUGGAAUUAUUGUUACGUGCACCUGUGCCCCAUCAUGAGACAUACCUGUACUCACUUCACCUAUAUCAUGAGACAUACCUGUACUUACCUCCCCUAUAUCUGUCACUCCCUUAGUUUCAUUGCCCAAUCAGUAUUGGUUAUGUGUUUCAUGUCCAGACACUACUCUUGUUCUGUAUCGUUCCAUGUUCAUUGUAUUAUUAAACUCACCAGCUGC